Non-coding RNA from Gossypium raimondii (Peruvian cotton), 119 nucleotides. Lineage: Eukaryota; Viridiplantae; Streptophyta; Magnoliopsida; Malvales; Malvaceae. The record is from Rfam.
UGGUGCGAUCAUACAAGCACUACUGUACCGGAUCCCAUCAGAACUCCGCAGUCAAGCGUGCCUGGGCGAGAGUAGUACUAGGCUAGGUAAUCUCCUGGGAAGUCCUCGUAUUGCACCCU